This 491-nucleotide ribosomal RNA is filed under the name uncultured bacterium. RNAcentral describes it as "partial 16S ribosomal RNA". It matches the Rfam family "Bacterial small subunit ribosomal RNA", at positions 28 to 507 of the family's 1533-position model. The record is from RNAcentral.
GAUGAACGCUGGCUACAGGCUUAACACAUGCAAGUCGAGGGGAAACGACGGGGAAGCUUGCUUCCCCGGGCGUCGACCGGCGCACGGGUGAGUAACGCGUAUCCAACCUGCCUCUGACUGAGGGAUAACCCGUCGAAAGUCGGCCUAAUACCUCAUGGCAUCGUCUGCGGGCAUCCAACGACGAUUAAAGAUUUCAUCGGUCAGGGAUGGGGAUGCGUCUGAUUAGCUUGUUGGCGGGGUAACGGCCCACCAAGGCUACGAUCAGUAGGGGUUCUGAGAGGAAGGUCCCCCACAUUGGAACUGAGACGCGGUCCAAACUCCUACGGGAGGCAGCAGUGAGGAAUAUUGGUCAAUGGGCGGGAGCCUGAACCAGCCAAGUAGCGUGCAGGAUGACGGCCCUAUGGGUUGUAAACUGCUUUUAUGCGGGGAUAAAGUGAGGGACGUGUCCUUCAUUGCAGGUACCGCAUGAAUAAGGACCGGCUAAUUCCGUG